GUGCUCACUUCGGCAGCACAUAAACUAAAAUUGGGACGACACAGAGAUUAGCACGGCCCCUGCGCAAGGACAUGCAAACUCGUGAGGCGUUCCAUAUUUUA
Small nuclear RNA from Otolemur garnettii (small-eared galago), 101 nucleotides. The record is from Ensembl. Lineage: Eukaryota; Metazoa; Chordata; Mammalia; Primates; Galagidae.